Long non-coding RNA from Tupaia belangeri chinensis (Chinese tree shrew), 542 nucleotides. RefSeq lists it as uncharacterized. The record is from RefSeq and is a predicted model, not a curated record. NCBI's taxonomy places the organism in Eukaryota, Metazoa, Chordata, Mammalia, Scandentia, Tupaiidae. The transcript has 3 exons.
AGGCCCUCACGGAGCAGGGAGUCUGCCGGCACCUCACAGUGCGAUUCCAGCCCCACAGCUGUGAGAGACGCCCCUGUGGUUCUAAGCUCCAGUCCAAGGUGACAAAGACAGAUGCCAACCAGAGGCCCAGUGAGGCGAGGGCUGUCCAAAGCCAGGGUGGACGAUGGAGCCAUUCCAUCGCAGUGACAGCCACCUCCCUGGAACCAGCACUGGCGGAAAGAGAUCCUGAGCCAAGCUGAACCGCUGAGUUGCAAGCACGGGCAGGCAAUACACACUACUCCGGCCCAUCGGAAGCACCGCCCAGAAUUCUGGGUGGUGACAACUCACAACUCUCUAUUAGAACAAUGCCAGGGAAGGACCAGCCACGUAACCUUGUGCUUAAGGAUGCAGGAUCCCACACUACCCACCACGGUUUGAUGGCUUGGAUGAAGAAACAGAGAGGACAUGCCGGCUUAUGCCCUGGCAGGGGUGCUUUCUCUGCGUGUCUCUUGUUGAGUGCAUGAUUACAGGCUCCCUCUGGCAAUUAAAAACAAGAAAACUUC